Ictalurus furcatus (blue catfish) is the source of this 1712-nucleotide long non-coding RNA. RefSeq lists it as uncharacterized. The record is from RefSeq and is a predicted model, not a curated record. The transcript has 3 exons. NCBI's taxonomy places the organism in Eukaryota, Metazoa, Chordata, Actinopteri, Siluriformes, Ictaluridae.
ACACUUUCCAGUUGGUUAUAAGACUGUAAGUCAUUCCCUUCAAAUGCUAUUGAAGUCAGAAUCGUGUUUAACAAUGUCGUGUGUAACUUUCGAGACGGUCCCUUAAUAUCCGCGAAUAUCGAACGUCCAACGUCAAACCAACUUCACGCCAGUUCCAAAAUCUAGUGGAAAGCCUUCCCAGAAGAGUGGAGGUUAUUAUAACAGUAAAGGAGCAAUGAAUCUAGAAUGAGAUGUUCAACAAGCACGUUAUGAUUGUGAUGCUGCACCAACUUCAGUGGCACUGCAGAUUGUGUACAACACAGAAAGCUACAAAUGAUGUCUCUGGCAGCCUGAACAGCCUCAUCAUCAUAUUACACAGCCACCCGUUGUAUGAGCAGACAGAGAUACAAGUCAAGAGGCGUGAUCAGACGUCGGGUUAAUGCUUGAUUGUGAUUAGAUUAGAUCAGUGUGCUUGCUAGCGAUCAUCAAUCAGUCAAAGCCUUACCUACAAAGUCGAGUAGACGCUCGGCGUGCACUGGAGCAGUGAUUCUGAUUGCUCAGUGUUCUCAGUUAACCUUACACGCGUUGCUUUGUGUUUUUCUGGAGGAGCUGGGCUGUGUGGAAGGCCAAAUGUACCAAACCGUCCAAAAAACAGUCGCAUGCGUUUGUCCUGCUGCUCAUGUCCCCGCCCACCCUGUGCCUCCGCCAGCGAAUGGCCACCAAUCCACCAAUCACAGCCGAGUGGGCGGUCCCCUGAGAAGAGUGACAACCUGGAUAGUUGUAGAGAAGCCUUUGGAAGCCUAACGUCAAGAAGAAGAUGAAGAAGAAGAAGAGGAAGAAGAAGGAGAAGAAGAAGAAGAAGAAGAAGAAGAAGAGGAAGGAGAAGAAGAAGAAAAGGAAGAAAAACAACAUCAUCCAAACAAACAACCAAACAAAAAAGACAGAAAAAAUUUCUGAAAAAUGGAUUGAACCAGAAAGGAGUCUGAGAAGUAGAACGAAGACAGCGCUGAUAAACAAAAUGGGUGAAUCUUUGCAAAAUACUGUUUGAAGGCUGAAAGGCUGCAAUCGGUAAAUGUAUCCAGAUAAUAUUCUGGGUUUUAAGUGUGAAAGAGGCUAUUAUCAGUUCAUUGAAAACUGCUAAACCAAAUGCAUACUUUUGAUCAAAUGUCAGUAUUUGUAUCUUCAGUAUCUUGCCGCAAAAAUGUAUAAAUCUACUUCUAUAAGAAUCUCUAAAUAAUUAACAUCUUUCAUUACAGAGGAGACAAAAUAACUAAAUUAGUUGCAGAUGGAAGUUUCUAGUUAAACAUUUCAUUUCACUAAAGCGGACAGAAUUUUAAGGAUUGUUAAGGAUCCUGCCAUUUCUCUCGAUGUGUUCAGAAACUUUGCUUCUAUUCAAAUAGACAUAAAUAGUAUUAAAAUAAAGUAUAUCAAGGAUCGCCCAUUGUCUAUUCCUAAUAUAAUCUUUGAAAUGUAACACGUGUAGCUUGUACUAAAAUUUUUGUUUGUUUGUUUUUUUCUAUUUGUCUAUUUGUGUAUUUUAACUUAUGUCAAAAAUCAAGCUAUUUAAUCUGGAUUAAUGAUAGUUUAGCACUGUCAUUUUAAAACAUUUGGUAUUUAGCAAUUUAGGAAUAGAGCCUAGCCUGCAUUUUAAGUGUUGGAGCUUACUGUUCAGGUUCUUCGACAAAAACAUUUCCCAUACAGCAUUUGAGGUCAUGCGCAACUUUAUUCAAUGC